UAAGAAUUUAAAAGUCGAACAGACUUAUACAUUAAGAAUACUGCUUCUUAAAAUAAUCUUAAUUCAACAUCGAGGUCGCAAAAUAUAAUAUAGAUAUGAACUCCCCAUCAAAAUUACGCUGUUAUCCCUAAGGUAACUAAAUCUUAAUUCCUUAAUAAGGAUCUAAAUUUACACUAAUAAAUGAUAAAAAAAACUAAAGUUAAUAUUUAAUCACCACCCCAGCAAAUUAUAAAUUAAUUAUUAUUUAGUAUUCUUUAUAAACUAAAUAAUUAAAAUUUAUAUAAAGUUCUACAGGGUCUUAUCGUCCCAAUAAAUAAUUAAAGCAUUUUAACUUUAAAUUUAAAUUUUAAUGUAUUUAAGGAAUAAAAUAUAUAUCUCAUACAUCCAUUCAUACAAGCUUCCAAUUAAAAAACUAAUUACUAUGCUACCUUUGCACAGUCAAAAUACUGCAGCCAUUUAGAUAAUUAAACCAUAGGGCAGAAGGUACUUUUUAUAAAACCCA
RNAcentral lists this ribosomal RNA (502 nucleotides) under Nesophrosyne heopoko. RNAcentral's name for it is "partial 16S ribosomal RNA". Lineage: Eukaryota; Metazoa; Arthropoda; Insecta; Hemiptera; Cicadellidae. The record is from RNAcentral. RNAcentral also lists the same sequence under 1 other name.